AAUGAACGCUGGCGGCGUGGAUUAGGCAUGCAAGUCGAGCGGUAGUCUCAUUAAAAAAUACCUUCGGGUAUUUUCGAGGCUACAGCGGCGCAAGGGUGAGUAACACGUGAAUAAUUUACCCUCGAGUUUAGGAUAACCUGCCGAAAGGAAGGCUAAUACUAGAUAAGACCACGAAUGGACAUCCAUAUGAGGUAAAAGAUAGCCUAGUCUUGAGUAAUCGAGAUGCUAUCACUUGAGGAGAAGUUCGCGUCCUAUCAGCUUGUUGGUGAGGUAAUGGCUCACCAAGGCAAUUGACGGGUAGCUGGUCUGAGAGGACGGUCAGCCACACUGGGACUGAGACACUGCCCAGACUCCUACGGGAGGCUGCAGUCGAGAAUCUUUGGCAAUGGGUGAAAGCCUGACCAUGCGACGCCGCGUGAGGGAUGAAGGUCUUCGGACUGUAAACCUCUGUCACAGGGGAGGAAAAGUAAUGAAGUGAAUAGUUUCAUUAUUUGACAGUACCCUGAGAGGAAGCCACGGCUAACUCCGUGCCAGCAGCCGCGGUAAUACGGAGGUGGCAAGCGUUAUUCGGAAUUACUGGGUGUAAAGAGCGUGUAGGCAUUUUAGUAAGUCAAUGGUGAAAUCCCUCGGCUUAACCGAGGAACUGCCUUUGAAACUAUUAAAAUUGAGUUUGGGAGGGGAGAGCGGAAUUUCCGGUGUAAGGGUGAAAUCUGUAGAUAUCGGAAGGAACACCUGUAGCGAAGGCGGCUCUCUGGUCCAAAACUGACGCUGAGACGCGAAAGCUAGGGGAGCAAACAGGAUUAGAUACCCUGGUAGUCCUAGCCGUAAACGAUGGGCACUAGGUGUCGGCUGGUAAACAGUCGGUGCUUCAGUUAACACAUUAAGUGCCCCACCUGGGGAGUACGUCGGCAACGAUGAAACUCAAAGGAAUUGACGGGGGCCCGCACAAGCGGUGGAGCAUGUGGUUUAAUUCGAUGCUACGCGAAGAACCUUACCAGGGCUUGACAUGCAGGAAGUAGAAGCCCGAAAGGGUAACUACCCGUUAAGUCGGGAACCUGCACAGGUGCUGCAUGGCUGUCGUCAGCUCGUGUCGUGAGAUGUUGGGUUAAGUCCCGCAACGAGCGCAACCCUUAUCCUUAAUUGCCAUCAGGUUAAGCUGGGCACUUUAAGGGAACUGCCAGUGAUAAACUGGAGGAAGGUGAGGAUGACGUCAAGUCAGUAUGGCCCUUAUGUCCUGGGCGACACACGUGCUACAAUGGCUGGUACAAAGGGAAGCAAUCCCGUCGAGGAGGAGCAAAUCCCAAAAAGCCAGCCCCAGUUCGGAUUGGAGGCUGCAACUCGCCUCCAUGAAGUCGGAAUCGCUAGUAAUGGCAGGUCAGCCAUACUGCCGUGAAUACGUUCCCGGGCCUUGUACACACCGCCCGUCAAGUCAUCCGAGUUGGAUACACCCGAAGCCACUGACUUAAUCCCGAAUUUUCGGGAAGAGAUGUGUCGAAGGUGUGUUUGAUAAGGAGGACU
RNAcentral lists this ribosomal RNA (1518 nucleotides) under uncultured bacterium. Its description in RNAcentral is "bacterial SSU rRNA". It matches the Rfam family "Bacterial small subunit ribosomal RNA". The record is from RNAcentral.